GGAAUUCUCUUCCUAGGUGGAAAAACUAGCUGUGGAUGGAGAAUUUCUUCUGUUUCCGACUGCUAUAUAAUAAAGUAUGUCAAAAGAAGAGCAAGCCUGUGUGUAACAAUAAACAUGAUGAUGUUGAAUGCUUGCAUUUCACAGAAUGCUCAGGAGUCAGACUUCAGGAUACUGUGUGAUGCAGCCAUUAUCACGUUCUUCAUCCAGUGUAAGCAGUUGUUGUAGUGGUUUGAGAGAAAAUGAAACAUCUGAGGAAGAGGAGAAUGACAGGGAGCUGAUGUGCUCUCUUGAGGGCCCUCCAAAACAGGAUUCAGUGGUUCACAGCAUAUGGCUGGAUGACAGUGACUGCACACCCAGUACUUCCAGCUCACCAGGAACCAGGUUGCUUCCUUCCAGCAAUGUUGCUGGCUCCACUGGAAAAGGAAGAGAGAGCAAAGCAGAUGCACAGCACCAUAAUCCAGCUUCCAUUUUGUGCUGCGUGUGAGGUCACCGCUGGAGGACGGUGUUGGUGCGCACUGGGUGAGGAGCACAG
This 532-nucleotide long non-coding RNA is filed under the name Amazona collaria (yellow-billed parrot). RNAcentral's name for it is "lncRNA (ENSACOG00000010338.1)". Lineage: Eukaryota; Metazoa; Chordata; Aves; Psittaciformes; Psittacidae. The record is from RNAcentral.